RNAcentral lists this long non-coding RNA (1212 nucleotides) under Setaria viridis. RNAcentral's name for it is "long non-coding RNA (SVIR_LNC002839)". The record is from RNAcentral. Lineage: Eukaryota; Viridiplantae; Streptophyta; Magnoliopsida; Poales; Poaceae.
GUUUAUAGGGUUUGGUCGGGCAGCACAACGGCUAGGUUUAGAUGAUAAUUGGGAUUUGGGCUAGGCAACGUAACAGCUAGGUGGGGUUGAUACUUAAGGUUUCAGUUGGGCGGCAUAACGGCUGUGUUUGGAUGAGACUCAAGGUUUUGGGCGAGCGGCAUAACAGCUAUGCCUGGACGAUAUUGGAGGUUUGGUUUGGGUAGCAUAACAGCUGUGUGGUGGAAUGGACCAGAGGUUUGGAUAGAUCCUUAAGGGAUUGGGGUCGCUAGGGAAUUGUGGAAUGAUCCUAAAGAGUAGAAUUUGAGAGUUUGUGUGACAGUUGGUCUAUACGGGUACUAGUGGAUAGUACACAUGGUGACAGACGUAGUAGGGCAAGAUCAAGUAGGAUAGAAACCAGAGAGCUUGUACAACGGACACCACUUUGUCCCGGUGCUAUGGGAUAGCACACAUGGUGACAGAGGAGACGGUACAAGAUCAAGCAGAUGCGCAACAGCGAUAGGGGUUAGCGGUGGUGAUAGGGCAGGGAGGAACAGCUAGCUAGGUGUUGUUGACAAUGCAGGUAAAGUGGCUAGAGGCCGCACGACGCACUCGACUUUGACCUAGCCCAGCACCUAGGGGUUAGGGCACGGUGGCGAGAAGAGGUAGUGCGGGAUCUUUCCUAAUAAGGUUGGGCUCUAAGAUCUUAGUAAAAGAUGGAAAGGGGACUCAUAUGAGGUGAACUAUAGAAAAGAAUGGCAUGGAUAGGCUUUUGGGGUUUUACGGGAAUUUUGGUGAACUUUGGGGGAUUUUUGGAGGUGAGGAAGGACUUGAAAUAAAAUUUAGGGUACACAAGCUGGGUGUGCAUAGCAAUUUUAGGGGGUGACGCAGGCAAUGGGGGCACUGCGAUACUGUGGCGUGAACCCGUGGACUCAUGCCAUGGACCAGGGGCGCUGCUGAGGGAGCGGUCCAUGUACGCGGGGUGCACGGAGUGAAGUAGGCGGAGGGGUGGAUGGCGGGUGAUGGCGCUAGGUGGGAGGGCCCACCUAUUGGGUUACACAGAGAGAGGGGGUAAAAAUGGAGAUGGGGGAGUGACGGCAGGGCGGGAUGGCGCCGGCGCCGAGCAGCGCCACCGCGUGCGCCAUGCGCACCCUCACCGGCUCACCGGAGGAGCGCCGAACCGGCACUUCCGGCCACCUUCGUGUUGGGAUACGAGGUAGGCUAUGCUAGCGCAAC